AUGACCUUAGAAUGUGUGCCAUCUGCUAUUCGGACAGUGCAGUUAAAUGGAUAAGGAGAAUAACUAGUAAACAAAUUAAAAUUUCCAGUCAUGUGAUCUGAAGCCCCUGAGUCAACAAUCCAUGACUUUGUUUUUCCCAUGCUAGUAUUUAGAGCAUGUGAGACAUUCCCUCUCUGAGCCACUACAGCCGUACCACCUUUUUCUGUAGAAGGCAUGGUUUGUUUGAAGAUUUUUUGUAAAGCCUCCAUUUGUUCCUUGUUAAAUGGAAAUGAAGUAGAUUUUACCUCAGCUUCUUGGUGGUUAAAAAUUGUGUUGCCUCUGUUGUCCCUGCUUUUGAAUUGCUUGGCUUUUGGGGGUUUUCCAUGUAUAACCCAACAUGUUUCUUGUGUAUGGCCUAGUUUCUUGCAG
Molecule: long non-coding RNA, 408 nt
Filed under: Cicer arietinum (chickpea)
Lineage: Eukaryota; Viridiplantae; Streptophyta; Magnoliopsida; Fabales; Fabaceae
Description: long non-coding RNA (CARI_LNC001226)
Source: RNAcentral